Molecule: ribosomal RNA, 443 nt
Filed under: uncultured bacterium
Lineage: Bacteria
Description: partial 16S ribosomal RNA
Rfam family: Bacterial small subunit ribosomal RNA
Source: RNAcentral
CCUACGGGAGGCAGCAGUGGGGAAUAUUGGGCAAUGGAGGAAACUCUGACCCAGCAACGCCGCGUGAAUGAUGAAGGUCUUCGGAUUGGAAAGCUCUUUUCUAAGGGGAGAAGAAAGUGACGGUACCUUAGGAAUAAGCCUCGGCUAACUACGUGCCAGCAGCCGCGGUAAUACGUAGGAGGCGAGCGUUAUCCGGAAUGACGGGGCGUAAAGGGUGCGUAGGUGGUUUGGCAAGUUAGUAGCGUAACUCCAAGGCUCAACCUUGGAACUACUACUAAAACUGUUGGACUUGAGUGCAGGAGGGGCAAGCGGAAUUCCUAGUGUAGCGGUGGAAUGCGUAGAUAUUAGGAGGAACACCAGUGGCGAAGGCGGGUUGCUGGACUGUAACUGACGCUGAGGCACGAAAGCGUGGGGAGCAAACAGGAUUAGAUACCCGAGUAGUC